Molecule: ribosomal RNA, 468 nt
Filed under: uncultured bacterium
Lineage: Bacteria
Description: partial 16S ribosomal RNA
Rfam family: Bacterial small subunit ribosomal RNA
Source: RNAcentral
GACGAACGCUGGCGGCGUGCUUAACACAUGCAAGUCGAACGGAAAGGCCCUGCUUUUGUGGGGUGCUCGAGUGGCGAACGGGUGAGUAACACGUGAGUAACCUGCCCUUGACUUUGGGAUAACUUCAGGAAACUGGGGCUAAUACCGGAUAGGAGCUCCUGCUGCAUGGUGGGGGUUGGAAAGUUUCGGCGGUUGGGGAUGGACUCGCGGCUUAUCAGCUUGUUGGUGGGGUAGUGGCUUACCAAGGCUUUGACGGGUAGCCGGCCUGAGAGGGUGACCGGCCACCUUGGGACUGAGAUACGGCCCAGACUCCUACGGGAGGCAGCAGUGGGGAAUAUUGCACAAUGGGCGGAAGCCUGAUGCAGCAACGCCGCGUGCGGGAUGACGGCCUUCGGGUUGUAAACCGCUUUAGCCUGUGACGAAGCGUGAGUGACGGUAAUGGGUAAAGAAGCACCGGCUAACUACGUG